GCAUCGGUGGUUCAGUGGUAGAAUUCUCGCCUGCCACGCGGGAGACCCGGGUUCAAUUCCCAGCCGAUGCA
Molecule: transfer RNA, 71 nt
Filed under: Patiria miniata (bat star)
Lineage: Eukaryota; Metazoa; Echinodermata; Asteroidea; Valvatida; Asterinidae
Description: tRNA-Gly
Rfam family: tRNA
About the family: Transfer RNA (tRNA) molecules are approximately 80 nucleotides in length. Their secondary structure includes four short double-helical elements and three loops (D, anti-codon, and T loops). Further hydrogen bonds mediate the characteristic L-shaped molecular structure. tRNAs have two regions of fundamental functional importance: the anti-codon, which is responsible for specific mRNA codon recognition, and the 3' end, to which the tRNAs corresponding amino acid is attached (by aminoacyl-tRNA synthetases). tRNAs cope with the degeneracy of the genetic code in two manners: having more than one tRNA (with a specific anti-codon) for a particular amino acid; and 'wobble' base-pairing, i.e. permitting non-standard base-pairing at the 3rd anti-codon position.
Source: Rfam by way of RNAcentral